This 77-nucleotide transfer RNA is filed under the name Saccharimonas sp. (SeqCode). Its description in RNAcentral is "Candidatus Saccharimonas sp. tRNA-Val". It matches the Rfam family "tRNA". From Rfam's summary of the family: Transfer RNA (tRNA) molecules are approximately 80 nucleotides in length. Their secondary structure includes four short double-helical elements and three loops (D, anti-codon, and T loops). Lineage: Bacteria; Candidatus Saccharimonadota; Candidatus Saccharimonadia; Saccharimonadales (SeqCode); Saccharimonadaceae (SeqCode). RNAcentral also lists the same sequence under 6 other names. The record is from RNAcentral.
GGGCGAUUAGCUCAUUUGGCUAGAGCGCAGCAUUGACGUUGCUGAGGUGAUAGGUUCGAAUCCUAUAUCGCCCACCA